GUUAUGUUUCGGAUAUGUGAUCUAAAUGCGUUGUUUGACGAGACCAGAAUGUAUAUUUAGGCACGGUUUACAAGCGGUUCGGGGACAUGAUUCCUAGUUAUUGCUGAUAAUAUAGGACGCGCUCAGGCGCUUUUUUCCGCUUGGAAUAAAAACACACAACAAGAAGUCCAACCAUAAAAGCAAGCUUAAUAGUUUAAUAUGUCUUGACAAGACUUCCAUAGCACAUAUCUUUCAGAAAUGAAAGGCAGAAGGCGCGACAAACGUGUUUUAGGAUAUAUGAACAUUGUUUUUUCAUUACACAAGUUAAUUGCUAGUGAAAAGUUAAUUAAAUGAAACUCGCUAUUGACCGAGAACGUUUUGAGUAUUUGUAAUUGGUAAAGUAAUGCAAAACGUUUUAAUUAAGUUCUUAUGGUUCUGCGUAAUUAUCAAUAAUUAUCUGUUCCCCGUAAGAUAUAGUUAAGAUUCUUUGACUUGUUUGUGAUUUUUGUGGCGUAAGUUUGUUUUUGGUGUUUAUUUUACGUAUAUGCUGUUUAUAUGUUUGUGUUUAUAGUAUAUUGUCGUUUGGGUCUUUGCCUUGUUUCCCUAAACAGGAUUAUUUUUGAAUUUUCGACUACUGGGCUUGUCCCUGUAUCUUUCAUGUUAUUAUUGCUUUUAAUAUAACAUUAACGUUGCAAUUUUAUGAACGUCCUUAAAAAAUGUGGCAUUGUAAUUCACAAUCGUAGAUCGUGUCCAUACCGGAUUUCGAUGUUCGGUACUUAUGUUUGUAAGCCGCAGUCGUUAAUCGUUUUCAAUCAUACGUGUGCCAAGUAAGGCUUUCACAGCCAUUGGGUUGACGAUCAAGUGUCCAUUCUCUGGACCAUUGAUCGGCUACUUAUAUAUGUGAUAAGAACCCAGCUCUAGUUUAUACGACGUAUGCAGACUAUUGCCUCUUUGCGAAUCCCACUCGGCAGUAUGUUUUCUUGUGAGGCUUUCCCCUGUCAAUGCGCUUUGUUGAAACAUUGUGGAUGUACAAUUACUGCCGGAUAUCUCUAUGUGGGAAAAUUGUUCUUAUUGUAAAUGUUUUGCAAAAAUGGCCACUCAUAUUCGCGCGCUCUAUCUGACCUGUCUCUAAGCAACACUGGACUUUGGAGUGAACUUUUUGACAACUACGGCUUAUAUUUAAGAUUAUAUAUUUGUAUGUGUCGACUGCAUGUUUGACAACGUUAAAUAGUGAAUUCUGAUAGUCAAACUACAACAUCUGCAUAAUGCAUCGGUAUAGCGCGUAUGUUCAUCUGUUUUGUACGCUACUCAAUGCCAGUGCCAAUUCAAGGGAAUUACCUCAUACCACACAGUGAAUCCAAUCAACUUCCCGUCAAGUAUAGAUUUCAAAAUAAACAACUAUCAAAGUUAUAACGUUAUUAAUUAAAGGAAAAUUUUGAACAAUCGGCCAUAAAAAAAAACACUAUUAAUGUUUAUUUCUACAGGGAAUGCGAUAAUAAAAAAAGGUUUACAAAACAGUAGAUAAUGAUGGGUUCUAUCACCACAAACCGUACGUAUUUAUGUAAUGUAUGAUGAUAGACCCAUUCAUGUGGGCACCCGUGAAAUAAGUAUGCGUCGGUUUAAAUAAAGUUUUUGAGUCUGAUUUCAAAGAUGAUGGCAAAAAUGUAAACACACACAAUUUUUGGGCCAUAUUUUGACCGGGUUAGUAGUAAUAUUAAUACAUUUCCUUUAAAGGAUGACACUCUUUCGACUCAACUGAUUUAAGUUUCUGUCGAGUUUUUGUUUAUAAUUGUAGGAUAUAGAACAAAAGGGUUUUCGAAAUCAGACACAAAGAUCCCACUUGAAAGCACGCAUACUAACUUUACGCGUAUCACUGCGCCUGUGAUUGUUGAUUAUAAUAAUAGUUAUUGUUGUCAAAGCUAGUAUGGUAUCAUUUAAGAAUCAGAUAGUUCUGUGUAUUCUUACAGUAUUUUACUAUAUAAUUAUAUCAUCUAGGCCGGAUUUUAUGCUGUAAAGGUAUUUGACGCGUUUCAAAAUAAUGCAUUACAAUACAUUUUUUUGUUCUUCUGUAGACCAAAGACGUGGAGGGAAAAUCUGGGCCAAAGAUUACAGUCAGCAGACGUCAAGGACGGACAAACAUAUGGCGGAGGCUACGUUGACGCAAGGGUUGCUACAGGCGAUUGUAGGGUUGGUUCUUACACAUGGGUUGUGGAAUUGAACCCGUCCUCUAUGGUAUGGUUGGAGAAUAUUUAUGACACUGAAUUUCACGGAAAUGGACUGACGUACUUUUCUGGGUUUCUGCUGUAUGAAACAGAAGUCAAAUAAAUCGCGAAAUUAU
Mya arenaria is the source of this 2317-nucleotide long non-coding RNA. RefSeq lists it as uncharacterized. The transcript is spliced from 2 exons. The record is from RefSeq and is a predicted model, not a curated record. NCBI's taxonomy places the organism in Eukaryota, Metazoa, Mollusca, Bivalvia, Myida, Myidae.